UCCAAUUUCUAAUGUCCUCCCUUUUCCCCUUCUGCUUGUAGAUGAGGGUGAUGAUGCCCUUCCUCAUGGACUCAGACAUACUGCCGGCCAGAAGCAUAGCGUUGUACACUUCCAGCAGGUCUGGGCCCAUCCAGUUCCACAGAGCCGAGUACAACUCAGCCGGAAUUCUGCAGAUGCUGGAAAUUCAAGCAACAUACAUCAAAGUUGCUGGUGAACGCAGCAGGCCAAGCAGCAUCUCCAGGAAGAGGUGCAGUCGACGUUUCAGGCCGAGACCCUUCGUCAGGACUAACUGAAGGAAGAGCUGUCCAAACCCAACCUUUUACAUGGAUGCAAACAACAGGAAUUCUGCAGAUGCUGGAAAUUCAAGCAACACACAUC
Molecule: long non-coding RNA, 378 nt
Organism: Mobula hypostoma (lesser devil ray)
Lineage: Eukaryota; Metazoa; Chordata; Chondrichthyes; Myliobatiformes; Myliobatidae
Exons: 3
Source: RefSeq, a predicted model, not a curated record